UACAGAGGGUGCAAGCGUUGUUCGGAAUUAUUGGGCGUAAAGAGCUCGUAGGCGGUUUGUCGCGUCUGCUGUGAAAUCCCGAGGCUCAACCUCGGGUCUGCAGUGGGUACGGGCAGACUAGAGUGUGGUAGGGGAGAUUGGAAUUCCUGGUGUAGCGGUGGAAUGCGCAGAUAUCAGGAGGAACACCAACAGCGAAGGCAGAUCUCUGGGACGUUACUGACGCUGAGACGCGAAAGCGUGGGGAGCAAACAGG
Molecule: ribosomal RNA, 253 nt
Filed under: uncultured bacterium
Lineage: Bacteria
Description: partial 16S ribosomal RNA
Rfam family: Bacterial small subunit ribosomal RNA
Source: RNAcentral